Molecule: long non-coding RNA, 500 nt
Filed under: Numida meleagris (helmeted guineafowl)
Lineage: Eukaryota; Metazoa; Chordata; Aves; Galliformes; Numididae
Description: lncRNA (ENSNMEG00000001773.1)
Source: RNAcentral
GGGACACGUUCUCUUGCAUGCUCACCAUCUUCAUCAGCAGGUCUGGCUGGGAGGGAUACCUGCAGCUCUUCCUAUCAGGAUUUGCUGGCUGUUCCUUGUUUCCAGAGAAGGGAGGCAUUUCUUCAGAGAAACAAGGUUGCCUUUCCUGCCAAGCCAUGAAGAACUGCAACUCUCAAAUACUCACCGUAAUCCAACCAAACAAGAGGCUAUGUCCUGUGUAGAAAACGCUGAAUUUGAAGCAUGCUGACCAAAGUCAAUAGCAUCAGAACACUGGGCACAAUAUGUGAAAACAAAUCAGAUUUUGUUCCUGUCUUUGUUGGUGGAUCCCCUGAGGCAAAUUUAGAGGCAUUCUUGGACCACUUCACAGGUUGCUACAGCUGAGUAUUCAUGCAUUGUAUCAACUCUCCCUGAGGAAUAAGUAGUUUUUAGGAAUUGUUAAUCCAUGGAAACAAGAAAAUCACAGGUUUACACAAAAGAAAUAAACAUCAACAGAACUGACA